AGGACGAACGCUGGCGGCGCGCCUAAAACAUGCAAGUCGAACGAGAAACCCGGGCUUGCCCGGGUGGACAGUGGCGAACGGGUGAGUAACACGUGAGGAACCUGCCCCGAAGACCGGGACAACACCGGGAAACCGGUGCUAAUACCGGAUACCUUCACCGAAUCGCAUGGUCUGGUGAAGAAAUGGAUUCCGCUUCGGGAUGGCCUCGCGGCCUAUCAGCUUGUUGGUGAGGUAAUGGCUCACCAAGGCGACGACGGGUAGCUGGUCUGAGAGGAUGUCCAGCCACACUGGGACUGAGACACGGCCCAGACUCCUACGGGAGGCAGCAGUUAGGAAUCUUGCGCAAUGGGCGAAAGCCUGACGCAGCGACGCCGCGUGCGGGAUGAAGGCCUUGGUUGUAAACCGCUUUCAGCAGGGACGAAAUUGACGGUACCUGCAGAAGAAGCCCCGGCCAACUACGUGCCAGCAGCCGC
Molecule: ribosomal RNA, 473 nt
Filed under: uncultured bacterium
Lineage: Bacteria
Description: SSU rRNA
Rfam family: Bacterial small subunit ribosomal RNA
Source: RNAcentral